Molecule: non-coding RNA, 366 nt
Organism: Oryctolagus cuniculus (rabbit)
Lineage: Eukaryota; Metazoa; Chordata; Mammalia; Lagomorpha; Leporidae
Source: RefSeq, a predicted model, not a curated record
ACCAGGAUGGUUUCAGGCCCCUUGCUGGGUGGGAGCUCAUCCACCUACCCCUCUGGAUGGGCAGUGGUUGUAGGUUUUGAGGCCACAGUGCAUUUGGUAUUAUGUACUAGGAGCAUAAGGACUACUAGCUGCAUGGAGCUGAGGUCAACAGUGGGCUCCCAGCCAUGUCCACCUUCUCAGUGGCCCCAUAGCCGUGUAUGGUGGCAUCUCCAGCAAUACACCGCCCCUCCCAUCAGUGAGCAGACAGCCUCAUGGGCUCCUGAGGGACCACGGCCACCAGCAGGCUCGUAACAGUUUUGCCGUAUCAGGGAGAAAUUUUACCAUCAGGUCCAGGAUGCGUGCUCGCACCCCAACACAUUCGUGGGA